Molecule: ribosomal RNA, 100 nt
Organism: Lottia gigantea (owl limpet)
Lineage: Eukaryota; Metazoa; Mollusca; Gastropoda; Lottiidae
Source: Rfam
GUCUACCGCAAUACCACGUUCGCUCACUGAAGUUAAGCAGCGUCGGGCUCGGUUACUACUUGGAUGGGUGACCGCCUGGGAAAACCGAGUGCUGUAGAAU